RNAcentral lists this ribosomal RNA (2970 nucleotides) under Triticum aestivum (bread wheat). RNAcentral describes it as "partial small subunit ribosomal RNA". The record is from RNAcentral. Lineage: Eukaryota; Viridiplantae; Streptophyta; Magnoliopsida; Poales; Poaceae.
CCCCCUCUUCGACCUUCUUAUUGCCGUCCCCCUCCAGCCGCCGCCUGGGCCCUUGAGCGCCGUAGUUGGGAGCGAAACCCUAUCCCUCCCAUUCCUACCAAACCCUAGAAAACCCAAAAAAAUCCGCAAAAUUACCCCCAAAAAUCUUGAAAAAAAUCAUCAGGAACCUAUCCUUCGGUCGGAUCCGCUUAUCUAUUAUCUCUCCUACCCGGUUGAUGAUGGAGGCGCAAGUUCAGGCGUCGGCAGCGCCAGCGGCUGCCGCGAUGGAGGGCGGCGCGUCUCCCGUGGCUGGGACUGCGGCAGCAGCCGCACCCGCAACCGCUGCGGCUUUCCCGGCGACGUCCCUGUACGUGGGGGAUCUGGACGUGAGUGUGCAGGACGCGCAGCUCUUUGACGUCUUCAGCCAGGUCGGCUCGGUGGUGUCUGUGCGCGUGUGCCGGGACGUCAACACCAGGAUGUCCCUAGGUUACGCGUACGUCAACUUCAGCAGCCCUGCCGAUGCUGCAAGGGCAUUGGAAAUGCUGAACUUUACUCCUGUUAAUGGGAAGCCUAUAAGGAUAAUGUAUUCUAACCGUGACCCAAGCUCACGUAAAAGUGGUGCUGCAAAUAUAUUUAUCAAGAAUCUUGACAAGUCAAUAGAUAACAAAGCGCUCUAUGACACAUUUUCUGCCUUUGGAAACAUUCUUUCAUGCAAAGUUGCUACAGAAAUGUCUGGAGAAUCCAAGGGUUAUGGUUUUGUUCAGUAUGAGCAGGACGAAUCAGCACAGAAUGCUAUCAAUGAACUCAAUGGGAUGCUUUUGAAUGACAAAAAGGUUUAUGUUGGGCCUUUUGUUCGUAAACAGGAAAGGGAAAAUGUUUUUGGCAGUCCCAAGUUCAAUAAUGUCUAUGUAAAGAAUCUAUCAGAAUCUACCACUGAAGAUAAUCUGAGAGAAUUGUUUGGUAAUUUUGGACCUAUAACUAGUGUUAUUGUAGUGCGAGGCGAUGAUGGUAAAUCCAGAUGCUUUGGAUUCGUGAACUUUGAAAAUCCGGAUGAUGCUGCAUGUGCUGUUGAGGAUUUGAAUGGCAAGAAAUUUGAUGAUAAGGAAUUGUAUGUUGGUAGAGCCCAAAAGAAGUCUGAAAGGGAGAUGCAAUUGAAGGAAAAUUUUGAGAAAAGCAAUAAAGAGACAGCUGACAGGAACCAAGGCACUAACUUGUAUUUGAAAAACUUGGAUGGUAGUGUUGAUGACGAUGAGAAGUUAAAAGAACUUUUUGCUGAAUUUGGCACUAUAACUUCUUGCAAGGUUAUGCGGGAUUCAAAUGGGGUCAACAAAGGAUCUGGUUUUGUUGCAUUUAAAUCUUCUGAAGAUGCUUCACGAGCUCUUGUGGCAAUGAAUGGUAAAAUGGUUGGCGGUAAGCCUCUUUACGUAGCACUUGCGCAACGCAAGGAAGAAAGAAGAGCCAGGCUGCAGGCACAGUUUUCGCAAAUGCGUCCUGUGAUGCCACCGCCAGUUGCUCCGCGCAUGCCCAUGUACCCCCCUGGUGUUCCUGGAAUGGGCCAACAACUAUUCUAUGGCCAACCACCUCCAGCUUUUGUUAACCCACAGCCUGGAUUUGGUUUCCAGCAACAUAUGAUUCCUGGAAUGAGACCUGGUGUUGCUCCAAUGCCAAAUUUCGUCAUGCCAAUGGUGCAGCAAGGUCAGCAACCACAACGCCCAUUUGGAAGGCGCGCAGGUGCUGGUGGAAUGCAGCAGCCAAUGCCAAUGGGUCAUCAGCAGAUGGUUCCAAGGGGCGGCCGUGGUGGCUACCGUUAUCCGUCUGGCCGUGGCAUGCCUGAUGCUGCAUUCCGUGGUGUUGGAGCUAUGGUGCCAUCGCUGUAUGAGAUGGGAAGGAUGACUCCUGGUGACACUGGAGCACCGCAGCAAGUUUCUAGUGGAGCAUUAGCAUCUGCACUUGCUAACUCUCCGCCGGAGCAGCAACGACUGAUGCUUGGUGAAAGCUUGUACCCACUUGUUGAUCAGCUGGAGCAUGACCAGGCUGCCAAGGUUACUGGUAUGCUUCUGGAGAUGGACCAGACUGAGGUCCUUCAUCUAAUCGAGUCACCUGAUGCUCUGAAGUCUAAGGUCGCUGAAGCUAUGGAGGUUCUCCGCAGUGCUCAGCAGCAGCAAACCAAUGUUCCAGCUGAUCAGCUGGCUGCUCUUUCGCUGAGCGAUGGCUUUGUUGCUUCUUAGUUGGAAUGCUGCUUGUUUCUGGUUUCUGUAUGUGCUUGGUGCUUCAGACCUGAAAUUGUCUAGUUUUACUCAAAUAGAUUUAACUGUGGAUUUCAACAUAUUGUACUCUUUAUAUUUGUUUAAAUAUUGAGAUUGAAAAAUGAUAUAUUCGUGGAUUUCUGUUUGUCCUAGGUGCUGCUGGAAUUUUGGAAAACGAUUUGCUUGUGCCUGGUGAAGCGACGCUGGCAUCAGUCGCCGCUACUGUUGUUGCAGGCAGCUCUAGUGAGAAUGAGGGGAGUAAGAAGGUUAACAAGAAGAAUAAGAAGAAAGGCAAUCUCCGUGGAUUCAAGUUGAGGUUUAACUCAAAACGGCUGGGUCGGCUUGGGAAGCAGUUAUCACCAGAGAAACAGAGAAUUAUAAGGAAUGGCCCAUUUGGACACUUGUUGGACAUCUAGCCUUUCAAGGCGCCUCAUGAGCUCAUUGAGUUUGUUGUGAUGUUCAUGAAUCACACACUCCGUGGGUUCAAAUACAAGAACAAAUCCAUCAACUUCAGCAAACUCAUGGUGAGAAAGAUUUUCAACGUGCCAUCCGGUGAUAGACCUGUGAAGCUUCUAAAGAAGGGCGAUGAACAUGACCUUCACAACAUCUACAAAGAGGGGAACAUGGCGCCAAUCACCCAUGUUAUCAAGUUGCUCAAAGAUUGCAGCGAUGAGGAUGAGGUUAUGAUAAAGGAAAAGACUUCCUAUAUGUAGUCUGAUAGGAACCUAUCGUCAGACCAAUCGUG